Long non-coding RNA from Pezoporus occidentalis (night parrot), 1663 nucleotides. RefSeq lists it as uncharacterized. The record is from RefSeq and is a predicted model, not a curated record. NCBI's taxonomy places the organism in Eukaryota, Metazoa, Chordata, Aves, Psittaciformes, Psittacidae. The transcript has 3 exons.
UCCCCGAGUUACUGCCUUGACCCUGUGCUGGGGACAGCAGUCAUGGGGGGUGUCUGUGUUGAUAUGGAGAAGGAUAAGAAAAAACCCAACCCAUAUGGUUACAUUCCACUUAAAGUGGGUAUUUCCCUGGUGACCCCCAAAAGUAAAUGUUAAUAGAUACCUCUAGAAAGGUCUCUUGCUUUGCCCUGUUCCCUUCCUAUAAGGCGAUAAUGCUGCGCAGAGAUAGAGCAGAUUUUAGGAGCCUGGUCUCCUGCUUUAAUCAUCUUCUGACAUUCAAUAUAGAGACACAUCUUUUGGGGUGGGUUUUUUUUUCUCCAGCUCUACAUCUUACUCCAGAAGUAGGUAGUCUUUGAAUCUCUGUCUUAGCCUCAACUGGAAAAGUAGUUCACCUUCUUGUAAGUUCUGAUUGUUAGAUAUGAAAGCUCUAUUUCAUAGCGACCGCAGGGAUUGUAACUCUUCAGCUGUGCUCAUGGGUAAAAAUGUACAGUCAAAAAAUAGGAGUUAUAAGAUCUUUUGCUGGACUACUUUUGAGUCGAUCUGGGAUGACAGAACCUAUUUCAGGCCAACAGUUAUUGUAAGGUUUCCAUGGAGAUUAAUGAUGUCAGAAGAGCAACAUCUGAGUGCAGUUUGCUAGAAAACAAGGCUGUAAUGUUAUAGUGGCAAAGUGAAGUCUUUGCAUUUUUGUCAACUCGUGGAAUAGUGAAACACAUUUUCUCAGUGGAUUGCAAUUUGCUUUUGAUUUGUGCUGAACAUGAGCUGAAGUAAUGCUUUUGCUGUGUGGUGAUUCUCCUGCAGUUUACCUCAGUGCUCAGAAAAGGAAUUAUUCUUGCCCUCAGGCCACUUUCUGAAUUCCUGAAAUGCAAAGCUUACCCAGCGAGAGAAUGGCCUACUCAUGUACAAACCAACUGACAGUUCCUCCUGAAAACCAGGGCAAGUUAAUACAUUCCACAUGUUCCCUGCCCCAGUUUUUCAAAUUGAUUAUUUUGAAAAGCUAAGUAAGCCUAUCUUUAUUUUGCAGGAAAUGUUUGGUGCCAUUAGGCAGCAAUGCUGUUGAAAAGAACAAAGCUGGAACAGCUUUUGAUAAUGUCCUCUGAGAAAUGGCCAACUGCUAUACAAGUGCAAUGACAGAGCCUUUUGUAGGUACUGACCUCUACACUCUGCUGGUAGACUGUUCACUAGUGAGAGGCACCAAACCUGCUGGGAACAACUGAUUUUGGACAGAAAAAGAAGAGGAAGAACCCUCUGCCUGGGCCACAUUCAGCAAAUCCUUCAGUGUUUGUUGUUUUUUCAAGGUUGAUUUCCCUUUUUCUCCAAGAAACAAGAACGUUUUGUACAGUAACCUCACAAACAAGUAGUGGAAUGGCAGAGGCAUAAAGCACGAACUAAAAAGAAACAUCAGACCAUCUGCUUUAAACGUGUCAGACCUUGGUUAGCAGGAAUGAGGAGGGACUCUAAUUGUAUAGGACUCAGAGCGAGGACUUCCAGUGUUGGACGUCUCACAGCAUGGGGCUCAUAAUCUCAGUUUUUCACUUGAGAGGCAGGAAUGUUGUGCCUUUCAAGUCCAGCAUCUAUACAUGGAAGUGGCUGUUUGUAAGUGCACGCGUUGCAAAUAGCUGCAUGGCUGACUCCUUGUUUACCCUCAGCAUGAAUGUCUGCAUGCAGA